AACGCAAAUUGCGCUCUCAGGAUAGGCCUGGGAGCACGCCUCUUUGAGCAUCGUUUCUAACUCAACUCGACUGCGUGUUUUCGAAUACGUGAAGUCGGAUAAUGAGUUGUCUCGCUAGCAAUAGCGGGUCACUUUAAAGAAGCGAGUUUCCUGAACUCCUUGUGUAUGUGCUCGAAAGAGUACAGCCUUACGAGGUUGUGUACAUUAGUGACGUGGAUACUGUUUUGGCUUCGGUCAUUACUCUUUACUACGUCUCUUUUGCGCGCGGCUUCGCACGGUCAAGCACUUGGUAAAUUGGAAUCGAUGAGAAAUAUUUUGUCUUCGGACUUAAUUUUUUGAAUUAGAUCUCAAAUGAAGCGAGAGUACCCGCUGAACUUAA
This 379-nucleotide unclassified non-coding RNA is filed under the name uncultured fungus. RNAcentral's name for it is "sequence contains ITS2". Lineage: Eukaryota; Fungi. The record is from RNAcentral.